Molecule: non-coding RNA, 192 nt
Organism: Podarcis lilfordi (Lilford's wall lizard)
Lineage: Eukaryota; Metazoa; Chordata; Lepidosauria; Squamata; Lacertidae
Source: the annotation of a GenBank genome assembly
UUUUUGAAUGUCUAAUCAGAAUCUCCUUUCCUGCAACGUGGAGCCAUUGGUUUGAGUCCUAUCCACCAGAGCAGGAGAAAAUGAACCUGUUCUCUCUUCCAUGUUGCAGCCCCUGGGAUAUUUGAAGAUGGCUACCCUAUUUCCUUCUCAGUCUCCUCUUUUCCAAGCUAAACAUACCCAGCUCCUUCAACU